RNAcentral lists this long non-coding RNA (6370 nucleotides) under Homo sapiens (human). RNAcentral's name for it is "non-protein coding lnc-TLL1-4:2". The record is from RNAcentral. Lineage: Eukaryota; Metazoa; Chordata; Mammalia; Primates; Hominidae.
CUCUUCCCGUGUGGAACCCAGGGUUCAAAUGGCUGAGCGGGAAGCGCUCUAGUAGGGACUCUGGCAACUCUGUUUUCUCCUUCUCUUCCUUUUCACCCAAUAAUACCCUGUCUUACUCAUUAUUUCAAAUUGUCUAAGAGCCUGAAUUUUCGUGGCUCUAGGGCAAAGAACCCCGUCUUUAACUGAACUAAGGAAAAGUCCUACAACAUUUUUGGCACGCAACGUGGGAGCUCGAGAAGCGAAAAUGUUUUACUAAGCCAGACCCCCUGUCGGCCCUCCCGCGCACUCCUUUCCCCCAGCAAACUGUCACCAGUCCAUGUUAUAUCACUGCCCAUAUGCUGGACACUGGAGGUCACAAAAUCUCCUAAAACUUUUGGCAACAAGAAACCUAGAGUUUGUUUGUAACAUUCGGCAAUUUGUUUACCUUACAAUUAUGGUACACUUCACUGCCUUGAUGAUCGAUGUAUUGCUAAUGAGAAUGAAAGAAGAAAAGGAAAAUGAGCCACUUUAAGAGGCAAAAUGCUACAUAUUCAGUUUCGAGAGCACAGAAUGACUUGACAGAAUGAUAGAAGAACUAAUCUAUGUCUCCUCAUUUAAGGAAUACAUCUACUGAAGCAGUCUACUCCUGCCACCAAAGUAUAAAAGCUGGACAAACAACAUAACGGAAAUCAUUUGAAGGCAUUUGAAAGUGACCACCAUUCAUAGUUCUUUAAGGGUUAUAAACCCUGAGAGAUAAAAGGAAUCAAUAGAACCCAUACUUAUGGCAACAUUUCUCCUUUAGAGUAUUUUCAGCUUACUGUGUGGAAUAGAUUCAGAGAAGAAAGCCAAAGUCUCCCUGGGCUGAGGAAACAUUGGAUUUUCAGUACAGUCACAGCAGCUGUGAUUUCAGGGGACAAAAAUCUCAAGGAAUGUAUAUAACUGAACCCCAAAAUCUGUAUUCCAUUUUUUUUUAGACUUUUUCAACUCUGAAGCUGUACAGGGAAAGCUCUAAGAAGCCCAACCAAAAGCAGCAGUUUAGACUGUGUGAAAGCACUGAACACGUUUCAAUAGUUAACUGAAUGAGUAGGCUUGGCAAAUAUUCUAUGCUCUCAGCUAUAUCCUAGAAGUAUGGGACUAUAUCCUAGAAGUAUAUAGGGUAUAUAGAAGUAUCCUAGAAGUAUAUAUGGGACUAUAUCCUUAGAAGUAUGAUCCAUACCCUUGAAGUAAGAGAAAAACUGAAAAAAACAACAAGAACCAAUUUUGAACUGAAAAUAUUUCAGAAAAAAAUUGCAUCUGCACUUAACAUGUACAGAUUAUUUUUCUGGUCAUUAUUCCAUAAACAAUACAGUGUAACAACUAUUACAUAGCAUGCACAUUUUAUUAGGUAUAAUAGGUAAUCUAUAUACAUAUAUGCCCUGGAAUCUACUUUUUCUAAUACUAAUAUAGCCACUCAAGCUACCUUAAGAUUAGUUUUAGAAUAGUACAUUCUAAUAGUACAUUCUUUUUCAUCCUUUUUUUUUUUUAACAUAUAGUUGUCCCUCCAGUAUCCGUGGAUUAUUGGUUUUAGGUCAUAUAUAUUAUAUAUAUAUACAUAUAUAUAUAAAUAAUAUGUAUUUUAUAGAUAUAUAAUAUAUAUGUGUAUUGUCAGGGAUAAUAUGAGUCAUUUCAUAAUGAUAAAUCAAUCAAUCUUUAGUUGCCUGAUAGAAGAGCUCCAAAAUAAAUGAAGCAAAAACUAAUAGAACUGCAAGAAAAUAUAGACAAAUCAACAAGUAUAUUCAAAGAGCUUAGCACCACUCUUAAUAGCUGAUAGAACAAGUAGACACAAAUUAGUAAUUAUGCAGAAGACAUGAACAAUAUAGUCCACCAACUCGAUCUAAAUAACAUUAAUCGAACACUCCACUGAGGAGAGUAGAAAUUCUUUUAAGGUACACACACAAAGAAAUCAGCAAGAUGAAACAUCUUCUGGGACAAACAAAAAUAAAACUCAUCCAUUUUUUGAGAGUCCAAAGCAGGAGGUUUUCUUGAGGCCAGAGGUUUGAGAACAGCUUGAGCAACAUUGCAAGACCUUGUCUCUACAAAAAAAUUAAAAGAAAAAAAUUUUCCAGGUGUGGUGGUGUGUGCCUAUAGUCCUAGCUACAUGGGAAGCUCAAUCAGGGGUGGUUUGAGCCCAGGAGUUAAAGAUUGCAGUGAGCUGUUUUCAUGCCACAGCAUUCAAGCCUGAAUGACAGAGCAAGAAUCUGUCUUUAAAAACAAAACAAAACAAAAUACAAAAAAAAUUCAAUGAAUUCAAAUGCAUAUCAGUCCUCCAAUGCUUUGUUACUCUUCUUAUCACAAUGGAACUAAAUUGGAAAUAAAAAAUGGAAUGUUCUCUUGAAAAAAAACCUUAAAAUAUUUGUAAACUAUAGAACAGAAUUCCAAAUAAGCCAUUGGUUAAAAAUUAAAUCAACAGAUUAAAAAAAAAUGAAAAAAAAGAAGAAAAAAUAUCUUAUUAUUUUCUGAUAUCGAAGAGUUCUUUCAGCAUUAUAGAAUUGAAAGUAAUAAAUUUAGGCCGAGUAUGUCAAUUUGAUCACUUUUUACAACACUGUAUUUUGUACAUAUCAUUUUGUAACCAAGUUACUCAAUAAAGAAAUGAGCAAGGUAGUUGUGUUAAUCACAGUGUGUGAACUCCAAAAGUGUCCAAUAAAAAUGUCUUAAUUUUUAUUUGCAAAUGCUUUUUCUCCUGUAAGUAGUGGAGACUAUUUUACCUCCUCUUAAGUCUAAGCUGAUUUAGUGACUUGUUUGCCCAAUAGAAGGGGAAAGAAUCAGCACAAUGCCAUUUCCAGAUCAAGCUUUAAGAAAUCUAUCAGUUACCCUAUUACACUCUCAGAGCCCUGAGCCACCAUGCUCUGAUGAAGUCCAACCUAAAGCCGUGUAAAGAUGCAGUGUAGAAGGGAAUCAAGGCAGCUUGGUCAAAAACCCCAGCCAAACACUAGCUCAGUACAGAUGCAAGUGACCCAGGUGAAAUGAGACCAGCUGAACAACUGUCCAGUCAACCCACUGUAUUAUAAGAAAUAAGUUGUUAAUUCUUUAAAUUUUGGACUGUUUUGAUAUACAACAACAGUAAAUGAUACACUAUAAUUUCAAUUAUAGUUCAGGGAAACAAACUAUGGAAAAUACAUGAUUGAGUGAGAAAUUGUUUUAUGGACAUCUUAUUUUAAUGUUACAACAAAAUUCUAGAAAAUAAUAACAUGCUCAAUAUAUACAACAAUACAGACAUUAGUAUGACAUGUAUUGUUUAUUGUAUGUAAUGUAGAUUGAUGAUUAUGUUUUAUCAUUCUAAUCAAGUCACUUAUCUGUAAAAUUGAAAACUCCAUUAUUUUCAUAAUGUUAUAUUGAUAAUUUUUUUUUUUUUUUUUGGAAAACUCAUAAAGUCUUCUUUGUUGAUUGAUAUUGUUUGGCUGUGUCCCCACCCAAAUCUCAUCCUGAACUCCCAUGUGCUGUGGGAGGGACCUGGUGGGAGGUAAUUGAAUCAUGGAGAUGGGUCUUUCUUAUGCUGUUCUUGUGAUGGUGAAUAAGUCUCAUGAAAUCUGAUGGUUUUAAAAAUGAGAGUUUCCUGCACAAGCCCACUCUCUUUACCUGCUGCUAUCCAUGUAAGAAGUGAAAUGCUUCUCCUUGCCUACUGCCAUGAUUAUGAGGCCUCCCCAGCCACAUGGAUCUGUAAGUCCAUUAGACCUCUUUCUUUUGUAAAUUGCCCAGUCUUGGGUAUGUCUUUAUCAGCAGCAUGAAAACAGACUAAUACAGUAAAUGAGUACCAGUAGAGUAGGGAGCUGCUGAAGAGAUAUCUGAAAAUGUGGAAGCAACUUUGAAACUGGGUAACAGGCAGGGGUUGGAACAGUUUGGAGGGCUCAGAAAAAGAAAGGAAAAUGUGGGAAAGUUUGGAACUUCCUAGAGACUUGUUUAAUGGCUUUGCUCAAAAUGCUGAUAGUGAUAUGGACAACGAAAUCCAGGUUGAGGUGGUCUCAGAUGGAGAUGAGGUACUUGUUGGGAACUGGAGCAAAGAUGACUCUUGUUAUGUUUUAGCAAAGAGACUGGCGCAGUAUUUUGCCCCUGCCCUAGAGAUUUGUGGAACUUUGAACUUGAGAGAGAAGAUUUAGGGUAUGUGCUGGAAGAAAUUUCUAAGCAGCAAAGCAUUCAAGAGGUGACUUGGGUACUGUUAAAAGCAUUCAGUUUUAUACGGGAAGUGGAGUACAAACAUUUGGAAAAUUUGCAGCCUGACAAUGCGAUAAAAAAGUAAAUCCCAUUUUCUGAGGAGAAAUUCAAGCUGGCUGCAGAAAUUUGCAUAAGCAAUGAUAAGCCAAAUGUUAAUCCCCAAAAGAAGUGGGGGAAAUGUCUCCAGGGCAUGUCACAGGCCUUCACAGCGGCCCCUCCCAUCACAGGCCCAGAGUUCUAGGAGAAAAAAGUGGUUUUGUGGGCUGGGUCCAGGGUCCAUGUGCUAUGUGUAGCCUAGAGACUUGGUGCCUUGCAUCCCGGCCACUCCAGCCAUGGCUGAAAUGGGCCAACAUAGCACUUAAGCCAUGGCUUCAGAGGGUGCAAGCCCCAAGCCUUGGCAGCUUCUACGUGGGUGCACAGAAGUCAAAAAUUGAGGUUUGGGAACUUCUGCCUAGAUUAUAGAAGAUAUAUGGAAAUGCCUGGAUGCCCAGGCAGAAGUUUGCUGUAGGGGCAGGGUCCUCAUGGAGAAUCUCUGCUAGGGAAGUGCAGAGGGGAAAUGUGGGGUUGGAGCCCCCAAACAGAAUCACUAUUGGGGCACUGACUAGUGGAACUGUGAGAAGAGGACCACCAUCCUCCAGACCCCAGAAUGAUAGAUCCACCAACAGCUUGCACCGUGCACCUGAAAAAGCCACAGACACUCAAAGCCCACUCAUGAAAGCAGCCAGGAGGGAGGCUGGACCCUGCAAAGCCAAAGAGUCAGAGCGGCCCAAGACCAUGGGAAUCCACCUCUUGCAUCAGCGUGACCUGGAUGUGAGACAUGGAGUCAAAAAAUAUCAUUUUGGAACUUUAAGAUUUGACUGUCCUGCUAGAUUUCAGACUUGCAUGGGUCUUGUAGCCCCUUUGUUUUGGCCAGUUUCUCCCAUUUGGAAUUACUGUGUUUACCCAGUUCCUGUACCCUCAUAGUAUCUAGGAAGUAACUAGUUUGCUUUUGAUUUUACAGGUUCAUAGGCAUAAUGGACUUUCCUUGUCUCAGAUGAGACUUUGGACUGUGGACUUUUGAGUUAAUGCUGAAAUGAGUUAAGACUUUAGGGGACUGUUGGAAAGGCAUGAUUGGUUUUGAAAUGUAAGGACAUGAGAUUUGGGAGGGUCCAGGGGAGGAAUGAUAUGGUUUGGCUGUGUCCCCACCUAAAUCUCACCCUGAAUUCUCUCAUGUUGUGGGAGGGACCUGGUGGGAGGUAAUUGAAUCAUGGGAGGGAUUCUUUCCCAUGCUGUUCUCAUGAUAGUGAAUAAGUCUCCUGGGAUCUGAAGGUUUUAAAAACAAGAGUUUCCUGUACAAGCUCUCUCUCUUUGCCUGCUGCCAUCCAUGUAAGACAUGACUUGCUCCUCCUUGCUUUCCACCAUGAUUGUGAGGCCUCCCCAGCCAUGUGGAGCUGUAAGUCCAUUAAACCUUUUUCUUUUGUAAAUUGCCCAGUCUCGGGUAUGUCUUUAUCAGCAGUGUGAAAACAGACUAAUACAUUUGUUAAAUUUCAUUUCCCAUAAGCAUAGAUAAUUUUAGAAACUUACUUGAGUAUGGCAUUUGUGUUAGUAGUCAACAAAGAUUAAACCUAGACAAUCAUUAGACGCAUGGAUACCUAGGAGAGAAACUCUGCUGAACAAAGAAGAUAAACAAUAGACACACAAACAUGGUCAAUCAUAAUCUGAUUCCAGCAUACUUUUUCAUGUUUUUACAAACUUAUUGUUUGGUUUAAAUUUAUGCACACAGAGAAAUUAUUGCAAAUAUUUGAAUAAAUCAUGCUGCCUCAACCUGUAUUUCUUAAUAUAUGUACUGCUGCUUUCCUUUACAAGGCUUACUUUUACAGGCAUAGCUGAAAUACCCCUAGUUCAAAAAAGCCUUCAACUCUCCUUUCUCAAAAACAGAAUUGGUAAUUUUCCCCAUUUUGUCACAGCUGUAAAUUUUACAUGUUUUAAUCCCUUACAUGUUAUGAAAAUAUUUUGCAUUUCACAAUCUGUUAUUGGAGUAAGUUUUUUGAGGGUAGGAUCCAUGAUAUGUUUAUUAAUGCCUAUUACUAGGGCCAGAGUAUAUUAGGUAACCAGUAGAAAUAUGAUGAAUGAAUUAAAUGAUAGCAGAAAACCCAUACAGCUAAAUAAUUAACUACUGAAAUGAAAUACAUUCAAGUAAUACAUAUAAUUUUGGUAGAAGUUG